GAUGAAGAACGUAGCGAAUUGCGAUAAGUAAUGUGAAUUGCAGAUUUCAGUGAAUCAUCGAAUCUUUGAACGCACCUUGCGCCCUUUGGCUAUUCCGAAGGGCAUGCCUGUUUGAGUAUCAUGAACACCUCAACUCUCAUGGUUUGCCAUGAUGAGCUUGGACUUUGGGGGUCUUGCCGGCCUAUGGGUCGGCUCCUCUCAAAUUAAUCAGCUUGCCAGUGUUUGGUGGCAUCACAGGUGUGAUAACUAUCUACGCUUGUGGUUUUCCAUCAGGUAACCUUCAGUGAUGGAGGUUCGCUGGGGCUCAUAAAUGUCUCUCCUCAGUGAGGACAGCUUUUUUGAACGUUUGAUCUCAAAUCAGGUAGGACUACCCGCUGAACUUAAGCAUAUCAAUAAGCGGAGGA
This 404-nucleotide unclassified non-coding RNA is filed under the name soil metagenome. RNAcentral's name for it is "partial contains 5.8S ribosomal RNA, internal transcribed spacer 2, and large subunit ribosomal RNA". The stretch from base 1 to 121 matches the Rfam family "5.8S ribosomal RNA", at positions 35 to 154 of the family's 154-position model. The record is from RNAcentral.